Molecule: long non-coding RNA, 126 nt
Organism: Carassius auratus (goldfish)
Lineage: Eukaryota; Metazoa; Chordata; Actinopteri; Cypriniformes; Cyprinidae
Exons: 4
Source: RefSeq, a predicted model, not a curated record
CUUCAGGUCCUCCUGGGAAACGUGGACGGAUGGGCAGAAGAGGCGACCCUGGACCCCCAGGCAAACCUGGGCGAGACGGUUACCCGGGUCCACUCGGUCUGGAUGGCAAACCUGUGAGUAUUCCUA